AUCAGUGGCGAACGGGUGAGUAACACGUGAGCAACCUGCCCCAGACUUCGGGAUAAGCCUUGGAAACGAGGUCUAAUACUGGAUAUGAGGUCACAUCGCAUGGUGUGGUCUGGAAAGAUUUAUCGGUCUGGGAUGGGCUCGCGGCCUAUCAGCUUGUUGGUGGGGUAGUGGCCUACCAAGGCGACGACGGGUAGCCGGCCUGAGAGGGCGACCGGCCACACUGGGACUGAGACACGGCCCAGACUCCUACGGGAGGCAGCAGUGGGGAAUAUUGCACAAUGGGCGCAAGCCUGAUGCAGCGACGCCGCGUGAGGGAUGAAGGCCUUCGGGUUGUAAACCUCUUUCAGCAGGGAAGAAGCGCAAGUGACGGUACCUGCAGAAGAAGCGCCGGCUAACUACGUGCCAGCAGCCGCGGUAAUACGUAGGGCGCAAGCGUUGUCCGGAAUUAUUGGGCGUAAAGAGCUCGUAGGCGGUCUGUCGCGUCUGGUGUGAAAACUCAAGGCUCAACCUUGAGCUUGCAUCGGGUACGGGCAGACUAGAGUGCGGUAGGGGAGACUGGAAUUCCUGGUGUAGCGGUGGAAUGCGCAGAUAUCAGGAGGAACACCGAUGGCGAAGGCAGGUCUCUGGGCCGCAACUGACGCUGAGGAGCGAAAGCAUGGGGAGCGAACAGGAUUAGAUACCCUGGUAGUCCAUGCCGUAAACGUUGGGCACUAGGUGUGGGGCUCAUUCCACGAGUUCCGUGCCGCAGCAAACGCAUUAAGUGCCCCGCCUGGGGAGUACGGCCGCAAGGCUAAAACUCAAAGGAAUUGACGGGGGCCCGCACAAGCGGCGGAGCAUGCGGAUUAAUUCGAUGCAACGCGAAGAACCUUACCAAGGCUUGACAUACACCGGAAACUUCCAGAGAUGGUUGCCCCGCAAGGUCGGUGUACAGGUGGUGCAUGGUUGUCGUCAGCUCGUGUCGUGAGAUGUUGGGUUAAGUCCCGCAACGAGCGCAACCCUCGUCCUAUGUUGCCAGCACGUGAUGGUGGGGACUCAUAGGAGACUGCCGGGGUCAACUCGGAGGAAGGUGGGGAUGACGUCAAAUCAUCAUGCCCCUUAUGUCUUGGGCUUCACGCAUGCUACAAUGGCCGGUACAAAGGGCUGCGAUACCGUAAGGUGGAGCGAAUCCCAAAAAGCCGGUCUCAGUUCGGAUUGGGGUCUGCAACUCGACCCCAUGAAGUCGGAGUCGCUAGUAAUCGCAGAUCAGCAACGCUGCGGUGAAUACGUUCCCGGGCCUUGUACACACCGCCCGUCAAGUCACGAAAGUCGGUA
Molecule: ribosomal RNA, 1311 nt
Filed under: Oerskovia enterophila
Lineage: Bacteria; Bacillati; Actinomycetota; Actinomycetes; Micrococcales; Cellulomonadaceae
Description: bacterial SSU rRNA
Rfam family: Bacterial small subunit ribosomal RNA
Source: RNAcentral